Molecule: ribosomal RNA, 397 nt
Filed under: uncultured bacterium
Lineage: Bacteria
Description: partial 16S ribosomal RNA
Rfam family: Bacterial small subunit ribosomal RNA
Source: RNAcentral
AUACGUAGGUGGCAAGCGUUGUCCGGAAUUAUUGGGCGUAAAGCGCGCGCAGGCGGUCCUUUAAGUCUGAUGUGAAAGCCCACGGCUCAACCGUGGAGGGUCAUUGGAAACUGGGGGACUUGAGUGCAGAAGAGGAAAGUGGAAUUCCAAGUGUAGCGGUGAAAUGCGUAGAGAUUUGGAGGAACAUCAGUGGCGAAGGCGACUUUCUGGUCUGUAACUGACGCUGAGGCGCGAAAGCGUGGGGAGCAAACAGGAUUAGAUACCCUGGUAGUCCACGCCGUAAACGAUGAGUGCUAAGUGUUAGGGGGUUUCCGCCCCUUAGUGCUGCAGCUAACGCAUUAAGCACUCCGCCUGGGGAGUACGGUCGCAAGACUGAAACUCAAAGGAAUUGACGGGG